This 1777-nucleotide ribosomal RNA is filed under the name Clostridioides difficile. RNAcentral describes it as "partial 23S ribosomal RNA". It matches the Rfam family "Bacterial large subunit ribosomal RNA", at positions 303 to 2101 of the family's 2925-position model. The record is from RNAcentral. Lineage: Bacteria; Bacillati; Bacillota; Clostridia; Peptostreptococcales; Peptostreptococcaceae.
GGACAUAUCAUAACGAAGAGGUAUCGUAAUUGAAGAGGUUUGGAAAGACCCACCACAGAAGGUAAUAGUCCUGUAUGUUAAACGAGAAGACUUCAGAUAUGAUCCAGAGUACCACGGGACACGUGAAACCCUGUGGGAAGCAGGAGGGACCACCCUCCAAGGCUAAAUACUACCUAGUGACCGAUAGCGUAUAGUACCGUGAGGGAAAGGUGAAAAGAACCCCGGGAGGGGAGUGAAAUAGAACCUGAAACCCUGCACUUACAAGCUGUGGAAGCACAUUUCUUGUGUGACCGCGUACUUUUUGUAGAACGGGCCAACGAGUUACGUUAAGUAGCAAGGUUAAGCACUUAAGGUGCGGAGCCGUAGCGAAAGCGAGUUUUAACUGAGCGUUCAGUUACUUGACGUAGACCCGAAACCGGGCGACCUACCCAUGAGCAGGAUGAAGCGAAAGUAAAAUUUCGUGGAGGUCCGAACCCACGAGCGUUGAAAAGCUCGGGGAUGACUUGUGGGUAGCGGUGAAAUUCCAAUCGAGCCCGGAGAUAGCUGGUUCUCCCCGAAAUAGCUUUAGGGCUAGCCUCAAGGUGAGAGAUACGGAGGUAGAGCACUGAAUGUCCUAGGGGGUAUUGCACCUACCGAAGACUAUCAAACUCCGAAUGCCGUCAUCUUAUACUUGGGAGUCAGACUGUGGGUGAUAAGAUUCAUAGUCGAAAGGGCAACAGCCCAGAUCGUCAGCUAAGGUCCCUAAAUGUAAGUUAAGUGGUAAAGGAUGUGGGAUUGCACAGACAACCAGGAUGUUGGCUUAGAAGCAGCCACUCAUUCAAAGAGUGCGUAAUAGCUCACUGGUCGAGUGAUCCUGCGCCGAAGAUUUCCGGGGCUAAAACUUACUACCGAAGCUACGGCAUCAGUAAUGAUGGGUAGGGGAGCUUCCCAUACGGGUUGAAGCAUGACCGUAAGGACAUGUGGACAGUAUGGGAGUGAGAAUGUUGGCAUGAGUAGCGAGAUGUGGGUGAGAAUCCCACAGGCCGUAAACCCAAGGUUUCCAGGGGAAGGUUCGUCCGCCCUGGGUUAGUCGGGACCUAAGCUGAGGCCGAAAGGCGUAGGUGAUGGACAACAGGUUGAUAUUCCUGUACUACCGAUAACCGUUUGAGAGAAGGGAUGACACAGUAGGAUAAGCUAAGCACACUGUUGGUUAUGUGUGCCCAAGCAUUGAGGCAGUCAAAGUAGGCAAAUCCGCUUUGAUAAUGCUGGGAUGUGAUGGGGAGCGAAAUUUAGUAGCGAAGUAGCUGAUUUCACACUGUCAAGAAAAGUCUCUAUCGAGGUUAAAGGUACCCGUACCGCAAACCGACACAGGUGGGUGAGGAGAGUAUCCUAAGGCCAGCGAGAGAACUGUUGUUAAGGAACUCGGCAAAAUGACCCCGUAACUUAGGGAUAAGGGGUGCCACCAUCAGGUGGCCGCAGAGAAUAGGCCCAAGCGACUGUUUACCAAAAACAUAGGUUUCUGCUAAGUCGCAAGACGAUGUAUAGGAGCUGACGCCUGCCCGGUGCUGGAAGGUUAAGGGGAUCUGUUAGAGCAAUCGAAGCAGUGAACUUAAGCCCCAGUAAACGGCGGCCGUAACUAUAACGGUCCUAAGGUAGCGAAAUUCCUUGUCGGGUAAGUUCCGACCCGCACGAAAGGCGUAACGAUUUGGGCACUGUCUCAACAACAGACUCGGUGAAAUUGUAAUUCCGGUGAAGAUGCCGGAUACCUGCGACAGGACGGAAAGACCCCAUGGAGCUU